CCUACGGGAGGCAGCAGUCGGGAAUAUUGCGCAAUGGAGGAAACCCUGACGCAGUGACGCCGCGUGCAGGAAGAAGGUUUUCGGAUUGUAAACUUCUUUAGACGGGGAAGAAAAGAGACAGGAACUGUAGAAUAAACUCCGGCUAACCACGUGCCAGCAGCCCCGGUUAUACGUAGGGGGGAAGCGUUAUCCGGAUUUUUUGGGUGUAAAGGGUGCGUAGACGGGGAAGCAAGUUAGAUGUGAAAUCCCUAGGCUUAACUUAGGAACUGCAACUAAAACUACUUGACUUGAGUACUGGAGAGGAAAGUGGAAUUCCUAGUGUAGCGGUGAAAUGCGUAGAUAUUAGGAGGAACACCAGUGGCGAAGGCGGCUUUCUGGACAGUAACUGACGUUGAGGCACGAAAGUGUGGGGAGCAAACAGGAUUAGAUACCCUGGUAGUC
This 441-nucleotide ribosomal RNA is filed under the name uncultured bacterium. RNAcentral's name for it is "partial 16S ribosomal RNA". It matches the Rfam family "Bacterial small subunit ribosomal RNA", at positions 338 to 795 of the family's 1533-position model. The record is from RNAcentral.